AUGAAGUACGCGCAGGUGGCCUCCGGCCGGUUCUUCUUCCUUGACUCAAUGGAUAAUGGCGCCGGCGACCACGACCGCCGACACUUUCUCAAGCUCGACCCCUGCUUCCUGUGCAAGCGUCGCAUCGCCUCCAACCACCACGCCUACAUGUACACGGGUGAUGCGGCGUUCUGCAGCGAGGACCGCAGGCAGGAGCAGAUGGACAUGGACGCUGCACUGGCUGCCGCCGCGCACCGCCACCGUGCGCCGUUAAUCAUCAGACCGUCGUCAUUGAGGAGCGAUUAG
Molecule: ribosomal RNA, 285 nt
Filed under: Triticum aestivum (bread wheat)
Lineage: Eukaryota; Viridiplantae; Streptophyta; Magnoliopsida; Poales; Poaceae
Description: partial small subunit ribosomal RNA
Source: RNAcentral